AUAUAGACUUGUAUGAAUGGCUUCACGAGAAUUCAACUGUCUCCUUUGUCUAAUCAGUGAAACUGAUCUCCUCGUGCAGAAACGAGGAUAGUAUCAUAAGACGAGAAGACCCUAUGGAGCUUUAAACUCACAUCAACAAGUUCAUUCCUUAAAAUUUUAUAUUAAUUUAGCUUGCUCGAUUAAAGUUUUAGGUUGGGGCGACCAUGGAGAAAAAAUAAUCCUCCACGAUGAUUUUAACUAAGAGCCACAGCUCUAAGUAUUAAGACACUUAACUCACAUUGACCCAUUUUUUUGAUCAACGAACUAAGUUACCCUAGGGAUAACAGCGCAAUCCAUUUUAAGAGUCCCUAUCGACAAAUGGGUUUACGACCUCGAUGUUGGAUCAGGGCACCCAAGUGGUGCAACCGCUACUAAAGGUUCGUUUGUUCAACGAUUAAAGCCCUACGUGAUCUGAGUUCAGACCGGAGA
RNAcentral lists this ribosomal RNA (468 nucleotides) under Megophrys synoria. RNAcentral's name for it is "partial 16S ribosomal RNA". It matches the Rfam family "Bacterial large subunit ribosomal RNA", at positions 1980 to 2622 of the family's 2925-position model. The record is from RNAcentral. Lineage: Eukaryota; Metazoa; Chordata; Amphibia; Anura; Megophryidae.